Molecule: ribosomal RNA, 253 nt
Filed under: uncultured bacterium
Lineage: Bacteria
Description: partial 16S ribosomal RNA
Rfam family: Bacterial small subunit ribosomal RNA
Source: RNAcentral
UACGGAGGGUGCGAGCGUUAUUCGGAAUUACUGGGCGUAAAGCGCGUGCAGGCGGGAGAGUGGGUCUGAUGUGAAAGCCCGGGGCUUAACCCCGGAAGAGCAUUGGAAACUGUUCUUCUUGAGUUUCGGAGAGGAAGGGGGAAUUCCCGGUGUAGAGGUGAAAUUCGUAGAGAUCGGGAGGAAUACCAGUGGCGAAGGCGCCCUUCUGGACGACAACUGACGCUGAGACGCGAAAGCGUGGGGAGCAAACAGG